Molecule: small nuclear RNA, 19 nt
Filed under: Arabidopsis thaliana (thale cress)
Lineage: Eukaryota; Viridiplantae; Streptophyta; Magnoliopsida; Brassicales; Brassicaceae
Description: snRNA_18999
Source: RNAcentral
UUGAAGCUAGAGGUGUCAG